This is a long non-coding RNA of Piliocolobus tephrosceles (Ugandan red Colobus), 1639 nucleotides long. The record is from Ensembl. Lineage: Eukaryota; Metazoa; Chordata; Mammalia; Primates; Cercopithecidae.
AAAAGAGUGGUAUCGAAUUAUUUUUUUGUAUUACUAUUAUAAUAUGUAUAAUCAAGAAUUUUUUAACUAUUUCAUUAUAGUUAUUAAUAAUAUUUUGAAUUCGAUUAAUAUAUAUGAAGUAGAAAGAGUUUUAAAACAGGAACUAGCGAUAAAGGAAUGUAAAAAUAUAUACCAUAAGUAUAAUGUACCUAGUGAGUAUAAAAAUAAGAAUAAUAAAAUUACUAUUAACCAAAUUAAUAACUUAUAUGAUAUCAUCAGUUGCAUUUAUUACAUGUCUGGUAUAAAAGAUAUAGCUCAGUCAAAAGAAAAACAACAAAAACUGUUUUCUAAUUUUUAUAAUUUUUUUCAAACGAAUCAUAAUUUACUUACAUAUUUAAAUAUACAACAAUUAUUUUUGCUUUUACAAAUUAUGGAAAAUGCUGUCAACGUAGCUGACACAUGUACAAAUCAAACAAACAGUAAUGACCUUAUCAAAAACGUACCUCCAAAAAAUUUGAAAUGUAUUAUAUUAGAUUUAGUUUAUAAUCGAUUAAAAACGUUACAUAAUAAUGUAUGUAUACAAAAAAAUGAUAUAAAAAUCGAAUGUAAAGAUUUUAAAAAAAGUAUACGUAUUUUUAAUUCUGUUACUAUGUAUUUUGAAAAAGGAGUUGUUAAUCAGGAAGGUGAAAAGAUAAAACGCUCAGAUUAUUAUUUUAAUACUAGCACUUUAGGUUUAACAAUAGGAAAUUAUAUUAAUACUGAUAUUACUAACAACACUAAUAACAAUAACAACAAUAACAGUUGUAAUACUCCAACUUGCGUUUUGGAUAAUCACAUAAAAAGAAAAAACUAUACUAACCUUAAAUGUGAAGAUAAAAACAAAUACCUACUGGAUUCGAUUAUUGGAGAAAAAACACACGUGUAUACGCGUGAGCCAAUUACUGGUAACAGUAAAAAUAUCACUAACAAUGAUAUAUCCAUAUUUACCGAACAAACAAACCAAGUAAAUAAGGAAAAUUGUGAUUUAAAAGAUAGACAAUUAUAUGUCGAGACUUAUUUAAAUGUACAUGAACAUAUAGGUUUUUUUGAAAAUAUUAAUCAUUAUAUUAAUAGAGUAAACACAGAUUAUUUGAACUAUAUACCUAUACUUUUUUUAAGUAUACACAGUAAUAAUAAUAACAACAACAAUAGUAGUGAUAACAACCAUAGUAUUGAUAACAACAAUAGUAAUGAUAACAACAAUAGUAUGAAUAACAACACAGAUAAAUAUAAAAAAAUGUUAAUGUACUUUUUAACAUCUAUAGAAAAAACUACCGAUUUAGACAUUUUUUUAAUUUAUUUGAAAUUUCUUAGUACUUAUUGUAACAAUAUAUAUGUAUUGUCAUACAUCCCAUACUUUUAUAAAUGUGUAUUGGUCAACAAAUUUACAGAUACUACUAAUUUAUUAGAAAAAAAAAUACUUUUUUUAUUAUCAUGUUUAUGUUGUUUUAUAAACAAAACAUAUAAUUCCAAUAACAUUGAUCUAAACAAUUUUUAUAAAUGUAACGAUAUAUUUUUUCAUUUAUUAUAUAAAAAUAAUUUGAAUGUAUAUGAAGAUGUUAAAACAAAUUUGACAAAUAUGAAUAUCAACGAUAUUAGCAACGACAUUAGCAACGAAAUU